RNAcentral lists this ribosomal RNA (636 nucleotides) under Aspergillus leucocarpus. RNAcentral describes it as "eukaryotic LSU rRNA". It matches the Rfam family "Eukaryotic large subunit ribosomal RNA", at positions 1 to 649 of the family's 3401-position model. The record is from RNAcentral. Lineage: Eukaryota; Fungi; Ascomycota; Eurotiomycetes; Eurotiales; Aspergillaceae.
GGUUGACCUCGGAUCAGGUAGGGAUACCCGCUGAACUUAAGCAUAUCAAUAAGCGGAGGAAAAGAAACCAACCGGGAUUGCCUCAGUAACGGCGAGUGAAGCGGCAAGAGCUCAAAUUUGAAAUCUGGCCCCUCCGGGGUCCGAAUUGUAAUUUGUAGAGGAUGCUUCGGGUGCGGCCCCUGUCUAAGUGCCCUGGAACGGGCCAUCGGAGAGGGUGAGAAUCCCGUCUGGGAUGGGGUGUCCGCGCCCAUGUGAAGCUCCUUCGACGAGUCGAGUUGUUUGGGAAUGCAGCUCUAAAUGGGUGGUAAAUUUCAUCUAAAGCUAAAUACUGGCCGGAGACCGAUAGCGCACAAGUAGAGUGAUCGAAAGAUGAAAAGCACUUUGAAAAGAGAGUUAAACAGCACGUGAAAUUGUUGAAAGGGAAGCGCUUGCGACCAGACUCGCUCCUGGGGUUCAGCCGGCUUUCGGGCCGGUGUACUUCCCCGGGGGCGGGCCAGCGUCGGUUUGGGCGGCCGGUUAAAGGCCCCUGGAAUGUAACGCCCCUCGGGGCGCCUUAUAGCCAGGGGUGUCAUGCGGCCAGCCUGGACCGAGGAACGCGCUUCGGCACGGACGCUGGCAUAAUGGUCGCAAACGACC